CUGAUUUGAGACUUUCUCUCCCUGCAGGCUAUUACAAAUAAGAAUAAUAAAGGAGACUAAUAAUGCACCAUGCUUGUUCUUUUAUUUGCAGAAAUGGCUGCUCUGUGGAUACCGCCGUUUGGUAAAGUAUUGUAGUUAGCUCAGAGCGAAUGUUUUCUUCAAGAUGGUGAAGGAGCUCUUGUGCUGAAGUCUUCACUGAGAUGGCGUGAUGUCUACUAGCAGAGAAUGGAGUCAUGCAGAGAUUGAUUGAGACGAUCUCUGAGAUACCCUCUUGAGGCCAAUCUAGACUGAAGAAGGACUAGUUAACUGUCAAGUGAGCCAUAUGACUCCCACUCCCACUACAGAUUCAACUGUUGAAAUGUUGAAGCGGUGUUGAGGCUAUAACUAACACUGUUUGAACUGAGACCACUUGAUUGAGAUGAUGACCUUUGAUCUUUGGAGGCGUACCAACACUUUUUGGACUAAGUGCCACCAGCUGAGGAAGAACUGUGGCAAGUCUAGCUAAAUGAGUCUCUGCGUCAAGUUCAACCACUCAAGUGACUGAGGGAAGUUAUAAGUUUUACCAACGAUCUUGGAAUGUGAUGACCAUCGGAAGAAAGAACUGUGUUAAGUCUAUAGCCAGAUGGCUACUUACUACAAGUUUUAACAUUUUACCAACUGACAUGAGGAUAACCACCACAGACUGACAGCUGAAGAACUGCUUCAUCGUUUAGGUGACAUAAUAAUGUUGAUGACCACCACUGCCUUUGGACUGUGUGCCGUUAACUGUAGGACUGUCAAUUAAAGCGAGAUGAAUCGCCACUACAAGUUUGAACUAUUACCAAGUGACAUGUAGGGGAUGUCGAGGAUAACCCCCACAUUUUGGAAUGAAGAAAGAACUGCGUCAUCAUUUGGGUGACAUUUUUCCGUGAUAAUCACCACUGCUUUUAACUGUGAGCCAUUAACUGUCAAUUAAUGGGCCAUCAAUUCUAGCUAGAUGACUCUCCACUACAAGUUUAACUGUCACAAAUGACGUAGUAGUAAUGUUUUACACAAUGCCUUUCGAACUGUCACCAACUGUAGAAAGGACCGUCUCCAGUCUAUAGCCAAAUGAUGCUUCACCUCAACUGAAGCUGGACCAUGAUGGGGCCCAAAAGCCCAGUUCAUACUUCCUGCGAUACCAAUUUUGAUGUGACAAAUUGACAAUGAAUAAUUCACAUCAGUUGACUUGUGCCCAACUCCUGCGAAACUUUUACUGCAAAAACAGCCAUGUGACG
Asterias rubens (European starfish) is the source of this 1256-nucleotide long non-coding RNA. RefSeq lists it as uncharacterized. The transcript is spliced from 4 exons. The record is from RefSeq and is a predicted model, not a curated record. NCBI's taxonomy places the organism in Eukaryota, Metazoa, Echinodermata, Asteroidea, Forcipulatida, Asteriidae.